GGAAUCAGCCUGACCCCACCCUCCCAGAGUCUGCAGUUGGGUCACAAGGGCCUCCCUCCCUGGGUGACCACAGGAGCGAGCGCCACUCGGCUCCCUGGAGACGGCACCACUGGUGGCCUGAGACCUGUCCUAUGAACAUCUGUCACUCAACCAAAAAUGCCAAGGGUACAAGAUGAAAAUCAACCAAAAAAGGUGAAGGAGAAGAAGCAAUGCAGAGAAGC
This 221-nucleotide long non-coding RNA is filed under the name Homo sapiens (human). Its description in RNAcentral is "HSALNT0274706". The record is from RNAcentral. Lineage: Eukaryota; Metazoa; Chordata; Mammalia; Primates; Hominidae.